AUGGAGGUUUCUGCAUCCAGUGCAGGCCCUGCGCCCUCCCAGAGCUUAGCCCUUGUCCCCUACCGUGGGGGACAGAGCUGGCCCUGGGAUGGGGCUUGGGUUAGGGAGGAGCUCAGGGCCCUCCCGGACCCCAUUCCUGUGCAGCCCGAUGCUUGCGAGCUGCCCGUGUCCAUCCUGGUGCCUGAAGCGGUGGACGCCAUUGAGGCCUUCGUGCAGAGCGCAGAGAAGCCGCAGGACAAGGAGCAGAGGAUGGAAUUCCUGCAGAGCAUCUGCACCGUCUGCAACACAGCGGCGGAGAGGAACCUGCCCUGCGGACUGAGCGCCUUCUGCUGCCGCAACAAGCUGGCUGAGAACAUCACGGAGCUGCUGGUAGAGGAGAAUCGGGGGAAGCUCUCCUUGGAACUGUGGCAGCUCGUCAUGGCCGCCAUCACCGCCCUCAGCGCGGUGAAGGCGGCAUUGGAGGACAGGAUGCGUCUGUUUGUCGUGUGCUUCCAGAGCAUCCUCUUUCCCUGGUGGCAGGAUCUGAACACCAACCUUUACAUCGAGGCCCUGAGGGCUCUGGACCAGAUGCUGCACACCCUGGUGUUUGUCCACCCCGUGGCCAGCAUUGGCGAGGAGCUGCAGGGCCUCUUCCAGGUGCUGCUGCCUUUCACCUGCUCGCAGAACGCGGUCGCGCGCCACGGGGCGGUGAGCUGGAUCUGGAAGCUGAGCCAGUCAUUAGCGCACUUCUGCCAGGGCAGGCUCUCCGGCUUCUCAGGACUGAGCCGCUCGGUGCGCUUCCAAGCUCUCCAUGUGCCCGUGCUGGGGGAGCUGGUGGGAAAGCUGGUGCUGUGCUGCGCCGACCCGGAGAAGAAGCUGCGCUUUCACGCUUUGCGCGCCCUCCACCAACUCUACAGCUUCGUCCUGGAGAGAGCCCGCUGGGAAGCGCAGUCGGAGGAGCAGGAGAAAUCCAAGGAGUGGCAAGCUGAGCAAGAGUUCUGCAUCACCUGGACCACCAACACCUCGAUCAUUGUGGCGAACUUUGUGAAGCACCUCCGCUCUUGGGAGAACACCGACCUCCUCCUCGUGGCGCUGCGGGGCAUGAGGGACCGCAGCAGCUACAACACCCAGGCGGCUGCCACCAUGCUGUCCGUCCUGAUGGUCCACCUCUACCCGACGGCCGACGACGUGCAGCGGAUCAUGGAGGAAAUCCACGAGAGCCGGAAGCUGAUCACGGAGCAGUGGGCACAGAGAUCCAUCAAGAACGCCCUGUGCUGGCUGACCGACUGCCACCCUGACGCGGUGACACGCAGCCUGCUGCGCUGCUGCCCCAACUGGGAAAGGUGCGCUGCCCCCACCCCAAGGACAGGGACCAGCAUCCCAUGUGGAGAGGGAUCUUCAGCCCACC
This 1387-nucleotide long non-coding RNA is filed under the name Numida meleagris (helmeted guineafowl). RNAcentral's name for it is "lncRNA (ENSNMEG00000022728.1)". Lineage: Eukaryota; Metazoa; Chordata; Aves; Galliformes; Numididae. The record is from RNAcentral.